CCUACGGGUGGCAGCAGUGGGGAAUAUUGGUCAAUGGGCGCAAGCCUGACCCAGCAACGCCGCGUGAAGGAAGAAGGCUUUCUGGUUGUAAAAUUCUUUUUUCAGGGACGAAGCAAGUGACGGUACCUGACGAAUAAGCCACGGCUAACUACGUGCCAGCAGCCGCGGUAAUACGUAGGUGGCAAGCUUUAUCAGGAUUUACUGGGUGUAAAGGGCGUGUAGGCGGGACUGGAAGUCAGAUGUGAAAACCACGGGCUCAACCUGUGGCCUGCAUUUGAAACUGUAGUUCUUGAGUACUGGAGAGGCAGACGGAAUGCGUAGUGUAGCGGUGAAAUGCGUAGAUAUUAGGAGGAACACCAGUGGCGAAGGCGGUCUGCUGGAGAGCAACUGACGCUGAGGCGCGAAAGCGUGGGGAGCGAACAGGAUUAGAUACCCGGGUAGUC
This 443-nucleotide ribosomal RNA is filed under the name uncultured bacterium. RNAcentral's name for it is "partial 16S ribosomal RNA". It matches the Rfam family "Bacterial small subunit ribosomal RNA", at positions 338 to 795 of the family's 1533-position model. The record is from RNAcentral.